GUACACGCUGUGACUAGCAUAUCAAUAAGCGGAGGAAAAGAAACUAACAAGGAUUCCCCUAGUAACGGCGAGUGAAGCGGGAAGAGCUCAAAUUUGAAAUCUUAAAGGGUUUCCCUUUACGAAUUGUAGUUUAAAGAAGUGUUUUCUGUUAGAGUUUCGGUAAAAGUUCUUUGGAAUAGGACAUCAUAGAGGGUGAGAAUCCCGUAUUUGACCGUUAUUUCUAGCUUUGUGAUACACUUUCAAGAGUCGGAUUGUUUGGGAAUGCAGUCCAAAAUGGGUGGUAAAUUUCAUCUAAAGCUAAAUAUUGGCGAGAGACUGAUAGCGAACAAGUACCGUGAGGGAAAGAUGAAAAGAACUUUGAAAAGAGAGUUAAACAGUACGUGAAAUUGUCAAAAGGGAAGCGUUUGACACCAGUGUUGUUUUCUCGAAAAUCAAUUAAAAAUGGCUCGAUUUUGUAUUGUUGAGACCUUAAAAGCUCACUGUACAUUUUUCGUGUCUUUUUUAAUGCACUUUUCGUUUAACAAGUCAACAUCAGUUUCUUUUGUUGUAAAAGGGUCAUUGGAAGGUGGCUUUCUUUUCGGAGAAAGUGUUUAUAGCCUUUGGCCUCUGCAAUCGGAGAGACUGAGGUCUGCAGCGUAGACUCUUCGGGGUUAGAUACAUUUGUGCUAAGUUAUAGCAUUUUAUAGACAACUUGUUGACUAUGAUUAGUCUUGUAGCUUACUCGCUUAUGCUAUUUUACCUACGCUUAGGAUGUUGAGCGCAUGUCUCUCUCU
RNAcentral lists this ribosomal RNA (773 nucleotides) under uncultured Neocallimastigales. Its description in RNAcentral is "partial large subunit ribosomal RNA". It matches the Rfam family "Eukaryotic large subunit ribosomal RNA", at positions 22 to 616 of the family's 3401-position model. Lineage: Eukaryota; Fungi; Neocallimastigomycota; Neocallimastigomycetes; Neocallimastigales. The record is from RNAcentral.